Molecule: unclassified non-coding RNA, 204 nt
Filed under: Hevea brasiliensis (rubber tree)
Lineage: Eukaryota; Viridiplantae; Streptophyta; Magnoliopsida; Malpighiales; Euphorbiaceae
Source: RNAcentral
ACUAGAACUUUUGACAGGCAAGAAAGUUAUAUUCAAUGAUGAAGACAGUGGAGAUGCAAUAACAAGUAUAGUGGAUUUUACAGUACCUAAAAUAUUGGCCAAUGAAUUGCUCAAGGUUUUGGACGAAAGGAUUGCUCCACCAGAACUUCUUAAGGAAGCCGAGGCAUUGGAGCUAGUGGCGUAUACUGCACUUCAUUGUGUAAA